This 340-nucleotide ribosomal RNA is filed under the name uncultured Bacteroidales bacterium. RNAcentral's name for it is "bacterial SSU rRNA". It matches the Rfam family "Bacterial small subunit ribosomal RNA", at positions 22 to 360 of the family's 1533-position model. The record is from RNAcentral. Lineage: Bacteria; Pseudomonadati; Bacteroidota; Bacteroidia; Bacteroidales.
GCUCAGGAUGAACGCUAGCUACAGGCUUAACACAUGCAAGUCGAGGGGUAGCAGGGUAGCAAUACCGCUGACGACCGGCGCACGGGUGAGUAACACGUAUCCAACCUUCCCAUUACUCGGGGAUAGCCUUUCGAAAGAAAGAUUAAUACCCGAUAGUACUUUUUCGAGGCAUCUCGUAAAAAGUUAAAGAUUUAUUGGUAAUGGAUGGGGAUGCGUUCCAUUAGAUUGUUGGUGAGGUAACGGCUCACCAAGUCUUCGAUGGAUAGGGGUUCUGAGAGGAAGGUCCCCCACAUUGGUACUGAGACACGGACCAAACUCCUACGGGAGGCAGCAGUGAGGA